RNAcentral lists this long non-coding RNA (480 nucleotides) under Heterocephalus glaber (naked mole-rat). RNAcentral describes it as "lncRNA (ENSHGLG00100050982.1)". Lineage: Eukaryota; Metazoa; Chordata; Mammalia; Rodentia; Bathyergidae. The record is from RNAcentral.
CGGCACUGCAGCUGAGGACCCCCGCGUUCCCUAGCAACGCCCCAAACCUGCGGAGGCGACUCCUGCACCCGCCGGGCCCACGCUGGGGGUAGGCGAGGGGAGACGCGCCUCGCCGGGCUUCUUCCUGAACAGGGUUUCUCUCCUUCCUCCGUGAAAAAGGAUCCCGAGGUGGAGUCACGGUGGAGGAACUCAGAAGCUCUUUGCUGCAGCCCAGUGGCCGCCGGCGGAACCUGACGGGGCUCGAGGCCCGGGCGGGACAGGGCCAGGCCGUGAGCGUGCCCUUUAUCCCCCACAGCCGUGAGUUUGGGGGCAUCUGUCCCCCUUCGCAGGAGGAGACCAGCUUCCCUCUCCACAUGCUCCCAGCAUGAUCCACUGCCCUACCACAGUACUGAAAGCAACACAACCAACUAUUCUUGGACUAAAGCCUCCAAAACUAUGAUUUAAAAUAAAGCUUUCCUCCUUUGAAGUUCAUUGUCUCAG